RNAcentral lists this ribosomal RNA (507 nucleotides) under uncultured bacterium. Its description in RNAcentral is "partial 16S ribosomal RNA". It matches the Rfam family "Bacterial small subunit ribosomal RNA", at positions 355 to 873 of the family's 1533-position model. The record is from RNAcentral.
UGGGGAAUAUUGCACAAUGGGCGAAAGCCUGAUGCAGCGACGCCGCGUGCGGGAUGAAGGCCUUCGGGUUGUAAACCGCUUUUAAUUGGGAGCAAGCGAGAGUGAGUGUACCUUUUGAAUAAGCACCGGCUAACUACGUGCCAGCAGCCGCGGUAAUACGUAGGGUGCAAGCGUUAUCCGGAAUUAUUGGGCGUAAAGAGCUCGUAGGCGGUUUGUCACGCCUGGUGUGAAAGUCCAUCGCUUAACGGUGGAUCUGCGCCGGGUACGGGCAGGCUAGAGUGCAGUAGGGGAGAUUGGAAUUCCCGGUGUAACGGUGGAAUGUGUAGAUAUCGGGAAGAACACCAAUGGCGAAGGCAGAUCUCUGGGCUGUUACUGACGCUGAGGAGCGAAAGCAUGGGGAGCGAACAGGAUUAGAUACCCUGGUAGUCCAUGCCGUAAACGGUGGAUGCUGGAUGUGGGACCCUUCCACGGGUUCCGUGUCGGAGCUAACGCGUUAAGCAUCCCGCC